UCGAGAAUCUUCCGCAAUGGGCGAAAGCCUGACGGAGCGAUGCCGCGUGAGGGAUGAAGGCCUUCGGGUUGUAAACCUCUGUCGCCCGGGACGAAACAAAUGACGGUACCGGGAGAGGAAGCUACGGCUAACUACGUGCCAGCAGCCGCGGUAAUACGUAGGUAGCGAGCGUUAUUCGGAUUCACUGGGCGUAAAGGGUCCGCAGGAGGCCUGUCAAGUCGGAUGUGAAAGCCCAGGGCUCAACCCUGGAAUGGCAUCCGAAACUGCCGGGCUAGAGUGCAUGAGGGGUAGACGGAAUUCCUGGUGUAGCGGUGGAAUGCGUAGAUAUCAGGAGGAACACCGAUGGCGAAGGCGGUCUACUGGCAUGCAACUGACUCUCAGGGACGAAAGCGUGGGGAGCAAACA
RNAcentral lists this ribosomal RNA (405 nucleotides) under uncultured prokaryote. RNAcentral describes it as "bacterial SSU rRNA". It matches the Rfam family "Bacterial small subunit ribosomal RNA", at positions 355 to 774 of the family's 1533-position model. The record is from RNAcentral.